This is a long non-coding RNA of Ipomoea nil (Japanese morning glory), 107 nucleotides long. RefSeq lists it as uncharacterized. Lineage: Eukaryota; Viridiplantae; Streptophyta; Magnoliopsida; Solanales; Convolvulaceae. The transcript is spliced from 3 exons. The record is from RefSeq and is a predicted model, not a curated record.
UGAACCAUUCUCAAGUUGCUCCUUAUCACCAUUUCCUUGCAAGUUUACACUUUCUCCCCAACUUGGUGUUUCCAUCUCAAUGCACUCAUCAUAAACCUCAUCAUCUU